RNAcentral lists this ribosomal RNA (352 nucleotides) under Russulaceae sp. RNAcentral's name for it is "partial large subunit ribosomal RNA". It matches the Rfam family "Eukaryotic large subunit ribosomal RNA", at positions 1 to 343 of the family's 3401-position model. Lineage: Eukaryota; Fungi; Basidiomycota; Agaricomycetes; Russulales; Russulaceae. The record is from RNAcentral.
CCUUGACCUCAAAUCGGGUGAGACUACCCGCUGAACUUAAGCAUAUCAAUAAGCGGAGGAAAAGAAACUAACAAGGAUUCCCCUAGUAACUGCGAGUGAAGCGGGAAAAGCUCAAAUUUAAAAUCUGGUGGCCUCCGGUCAUCCGAGUUGUAAUCUAGAGAAGCGUCUUCCGCGCUGGACCGUGCACAAGUCUCCUGGAAUGGAGCGUCAUAGAGGGUGAGAAUCCCGUCUUUGGCACGGACCCCAGGGCUUCUGUGAUGCGCUCUCGAAGAGUCGAGUUGUUUGGGAAUGCAGCUCAAAAUGGGUGGUGAACUCCAUCUAAAGCUAAAUAUUGGCGAGAGACCGAUAGCGA